This 251-nucleotide ribosomal RNA is filed under the name uncultured prokaryote. RNAcentral describes it as "partial 16S rRNA". It matches the Rfam family "Bacterial small subunit ribosomal RNA", at positions 525 to 775 of the family's 1533-position model. The record is from RNAcentral.
ACGUAGGGUGCGAGCGUUAAUCGGAAUUACUGGGCGUAAAGCGUGCGCAGGCGGUUAUAUAAGUCAGAUGUGAAAUCCCCGGGCUUAACCUGGGAAAUGCAUUUGAGACUGUAUGACUAGAGUGUGGGAGAGGGGGGUGGAAUUCCACGUGUAGCAGUGAAAUGCGUAGAUAUGUGGAGGAACACCGGUGGCGAAGGCAGCUUCCUGGACCAUUACUGACUCUCAUGCACGAAAGCGUGGGGAGCAAACAG